GAAAAUAACUUUUUUCAAGAGUCAUCUAAUAUUUGUGUUUUGGGUGCAUUUUACAAACGUCUUCUACUAUCAAACGCGUCUAAACCUAGUGAAAAAAUUAUUUUUGUUUUCACGAAUACAUGUACCCGCGCACAGAAGGAUUGUCUUUCACUUUCACACAUCAUUACUCACCAUCGUCACCUUCGUCUCACUCUGUAUCCUCUUUGAAUCUCUGCAUCUAGAAUGGAGAUGCCCCAGGGGUUUUGUUCGUCACUUCCUUCAUCCAUUCCUUGCAGUAUCAGUUGCGUCGUCUUCCCCAUUCUCCGUUGGUGUCGUGUCAUCUUCUCUCUUUUCCGCCGAAAGUGUCGCGUCGUCUAAUCUCUUCUCCGUUGUGAGCAUCGCAACUUGUCAUCAUUUUUUCUGGACUUGUUCUUCUUCUCCACCGAUGUAAUAGUUUCAUGCUUUGGCUCCCUUCAUCUCUGCUUCUCUAGGUUUUGCUUGCCGUUCAUAUCUGAUCUCUUCCAAUUUGCCAGUGUUCUUCUGCUAGGGUUCAUCACCGCUGAUCAUUGUUCAGUUUUUGCUUCAUCGGCACCUUCGCUUCACUCUUGCGCCACCUCAGCAUCGAGCGUGGUGCACUGCCGCCACACCGGCUACAAACCCGUACCACCUGUGGAAGGAGAAGGAAGAGGAGAUUUUGAAGGACAUUGAGCCUGUGGUUACACUAACCAAAGAUAUUCUUCACUCUCGAAGGAAUGUAAAUGUUAAUGUCCUUCAACUGCAGCAGCAGAAUGCUGAGUCCGUGUGGGCGGUGCUAGGGCUUGCAGAUGAGCCUGCGGUGCAGCCUUGCUCUGAGGUGAAGAAGAAUGGGGUUUCGCCUAGGACUGCAGCGACGCUCAUUCCGGGUCCGGCUGUUGUUACGUUGGGGUGGAGAGGAAGCCAGGUUGUCCUCUGAAGGCUGUGCCCACUGCUGAUGUUGUUGCUGCUGUUGUGGCGGCAGCUGAAGCUUCAAGUGGUGACUCCUAUUAUGUUCAUUCUGAUUUCUGAUCUUGCCGCUGUUGUGAAUGCAUUGCUGUUGGCGCCCGUAGUUGUGCUUGCCAAUCAACAGUCAUUAUAACCAGGUCAUUCAUUUGAGUUAUGAAAUUUUAUAUCUAUCUGAGUUGAUUUUGUUUUCCCUUUUUUAUUUUUAUUUGUUUGUUAUUCCGACAAACGGAUCUAAAGAAAUCAUUUAAGUGCCUCCAUAUAGCUGAGAAAAUAUUCUCUCUCUCUCUCUGAGUAAAAUGUGCUACUAUCAUCUCUCUCCUCUGCAAAUUUUUUUUCAAGAAUCAAUUAUUGGAAAAUGCAAUGUGAUUUCCACAUCAAUAGACCAGAAAAUCCUGAACCAUCUGAAACAGAGUUGAAGAGAGCUGAUUUGUUUUUCAAUUAUGCAUAUGCGUUAGUUGCUAGCCGUGCAAAACUUGAUGACUUUACAAUUGAAGGUUAGUUAUUUGCAUCUGAUAUUUGUUAAUUUUGGUAAGAUAGAAGUUUCAGUUGUGAUGUUUGUAUUCAUGAGCAGAGCACCAUUCUUUAUUCAUAUGUUGAUUUUUUUAAUGCACUAAUUAAUGAUUAUGUCCACAUGUACGAUAUAUAGUAAUAUUACUUAAGAAUGAUAAGAAUUUCUUUCUUUUCUUUCCCUUUAUUUUUACAUUUUAUGACUGAUUCAUUGGGCACUGUGUUUGUAUAGUGCAAGUAGGCACAAGCAGUGCUGGAUGCGGCUGAAGCUGCCACUACAACUGUGAGAUUUCUGGACAUACAUCAUAAGUUUAAGUCUGAGAUUGAAGAAUGUUCAAAAAAGGUCUGUUCAUAUGGGCGUGUGUUUGGUCUCUUUAGUUUUAUUUAAUAUUAAUAGAUAGUAUAAAUGUGUAUUGUGUUGUGGAUUUUUAGACCUUUUAAUUUUUUUUUCUUCUUCAGACUUUGCUAUUGGGAUAUUUGGAGCAGCAUAUGAGUUUUACUUCUUCAUUCUUUUAUUUACUUUUUCAUUUUAAUUUUUUUAA
This is a non-coding RNA of Arachis ipaensis, 2009 nucleotides long. NCBI's taxonomy places the organism in Eukaryota, Viridiplantae, Streptophyta, Magnoliopsida, Fabales, Fabaceae. The record is from RefSeq and is a predicted model, not a curated record.